GGACUACCGGGGUAUCUAAUCCUGUUUGAUCCCCACGCUUUCGUGCCUCAGCGUCAAUAAUACCAUAGUAAGCUGCCUUCGCAAUUGGUGUUCUGUGACAUAUCUAUGCAUUUCACCGCUACUUGUCACAUUCCGCCUACCUCUAGUAUAUUCAAGCCUAUCAGUAUCAAGGGCACUGCGAUAGUUAAGCUACCGUCUUUCACCCCUGACUUAAUAGGCCGCCUACGCACCCUUUAAACCCAAUAAAUCCGGAUAACGCUUGGAUCCUCCGUAUUACCGCGGCUGCUGGCAC
Molecule: ribosomal RNA, 292 nt
Filed under: uncultured bacterium
Lineage: Bacteria
Also listed under: 1 other name
Description: partial 16S ribosomal RNA
Source: RNAcentral